This is a long non-coding RNA of Bombyx mori (domestic silkworm), 508 nucleotides long. RefSeq lists it as uncharacterized. The record is from RefSeq and is a predicted model, not a curated record. The transcript has 2 exons. Lineage: Eukaryota; Metazoa; Arthropoda; Insecta; Lepidoptera; Bombycidae.
GCCGUGCCGGAGCCAAAAAAUAAAGAAAAAGAAGAAACUUAACGUGGGCUUUUUGGCGGGAAUGUGAGAAACAUAGUUAUAUUAUAUGAACUGUUUUAUUUUGUUCAUUUAGUAUUUACUACUUCAAUCUUAAACGUGUACUAAUGGUGGUUUAAACGUGUGCUAUUUUAUAUUAUUUUAUUUCAUCUCGUAUCAUUACGUUUUAUCCGAAUUGAUUACAAUUUUAGAUAAAUCAACUUCACCUCAUUCCAAAACCUAUCACGUUUCAUUUAACAGUGAGUCGCUGGAUGAGGUCAAUUUGCUCGAACGUCAGCUGCACGGCGUCGCGGUGUUGCGCAUCGCAAGGCACGUACGCCGCCCAGAACUGACACACAAUGUACAUCUGACGUGAACUUAGAUUAAAAACACGCACGACUACCCACUUUUAUUGAACUUCUUGUAUCAGAAUUUCCCGUGGAGCUUGCGUAACCCGUAAAUAAAGUCAACAGAAAACACUUUUAAGAUUUAA